AGUGAACGCUGGCGGUAGGCCUAACACAUGCAAGUCGAACGGCAGCACAGUAAGAGCUUGCUCUUACGGGUGGCGAGUGGCGGACGGGUGAGGAAUACAUCGGAAUCUACUUUUUCGUGGGGGAUAACGUAGGGAAACUUACGCUAAUACCGCAUACGACCUACGGGUGAAAGCAGGGGAUCUUCGGACCUUGCGCGAUUGAAUGAGCCGAUGUCGGAUUAGCUAGUUGGCGGGGUAAAGGCCCACCAAGGCGACGAUCCGUAGCUGGUCUGAGAGGAUGAUCAGCCCCAGUGGAAAUAGGACCCGGUCCAGACCCCUACGGGAGGCAGCAGUGGGGAAUAUUGGAAAAUGGGCGCAAGCCUGGUCCCGCCAUACCGGGUGGGUGAAGAAGGCCUUCGGGUUGUAAAGCCCUUUUGUUGGGAAAGAAAAGCAGCAGGUUAAUCCCCCGGUGUUUUGACGGUACCCAAAGAAAAAGCACCGGCAAACUUCGU
Molecule: ribosomal RNA, 491 nt
Filed under: uncultured bacterium
Lineage: Bacteria
Description: partial 16S ribosomal RNA
Rfam family: Bacterial small subunit ribosomal RNA
Source: RNAcentral